RNAcentral lists this ribosomal RNA (347 nucleotides) under uncultured fungus. RNAcentral's name for it is "SSU rRNA". It matches the Rfam family "Eukaryotic small subunit ribosomal RNA", at positions 20 to 371 of the family's 1831-position model. Lineage: Eukaryota; Fungi. The record is from RNAcentral.
GUAGUCAUAUGCUUGUCUCAAAGAUUAAGCCAUGCAUGUCUAAGUAUAAGCAAUUAUACAGCGAAACUGCGAAUGGCUCAUUAUAUAAGUUAUCGUUUAUUUGAUAGUGCCUACCUACUCGGAUAACCGUGGUAAUUCUAGAGCUAAUACAUGCUAAAAAUCCCGACUUCGGAAGGGAUGUAUUUAUUAGAUUAAAAACCAAUGCCCUCCGGGGCUCACUGGUGAUUCAUGAUAACUUCUCGAAUCGCACGGCCUUGCGCCGGCGAUGGUUCAUUCAAAUUUCUUCCCUAUCAACUUUCGAUGUUUGGGUAUUGGCCAAACAUGGUUGCAACGGGUAACGGGGAAUA